UGACCUGCCCACUGAUAAAAAUAUUUAACGGCCGCGGUAUUUAUGACCGUGCAAAGGUAGCAUAAUCAUUAGUCUUUUAAUUGGAGACUUGAAUGAAAGGUUUGACAAAAGAAAUACUGUCUUAUUUAGUAAAAAUUGAAUUUAACUUUUAAGUGAGAAGGCUUAAAUAGUUCAGGGGGACGAUAAGACCCUAUAAAGUUUUAUAGGAGAAUAAUUUUUUACUAAAUAUUAAAAGUUAUAAUUUAUUUUUUUAUUGGGUUGGGGCAACAAGGGUAUAAUUGUUAUUAAUUGCUUAAUUAUUUAUACAAAUAUAUUUGUUUAAAAGUUAAAUGAUCCUUUAAUUAUUUAAAGAUUAAGAGAUUAAAUUACUUUAGGGAUAACAGCGUUAUUUUUUUUAAGAGUUCUUAUCGAAAAAAGAGUUUGCGACCUCGAUGUUGAAUUAAAAUUUUCUAUAUAGUGCAGUUGUUAUAUAAGAAGGUCUGUUCGACCUUUAAUUUUUUACAUGAUUUGAGUUCAGACCGGUGUGAGCC
This 530-nucleotide ribosomal RNA is filed under the name Rodriguezus iturbei. RNAcentral describes it as "partial 16S ribosomal RNA". It matches the Rfam family "Bacterial large subunit ribosomal RNA", at positions 1854 to 2627 of the family's 2925-position model. The record is from RNAcentral. Lineage: Eukaryota; Metazoa; Arthropoda; Malacostraca; Decapoda; Pseudothelphusidae.